CCAGAGCCACGUAGGAAGCACCCACAACCAGAGUCUUGCCAGGGCAGUAAGGCAGGGAGAAGAGGUCAUCACUGAAAAGAGAAGACCUCUAAGUAAUUCAGGUUGGAAAGGAUCUCAGGAGGUCAUCUAGUCCAGCCUGCUGCUGAGGAGUCUCUCUGUUCUACUUCAUUUAUUGAUUAAGGACACUUCAGUGGCUUGGACACUUGAACAGGUGGUACACAAGAAGGACAGAACUGACUUGGCAUGUUCACGCAUGGAAAAGAAGGUGACACACUGGAGACAUUUCAGUGGAGCAUCACCAUGAUGUUCAAGGGGCUGGAGCACACCCCCCAUGAGAAGGCCAAGGGAAUUUGACACAUUCAGCCUGGAGAACAACUGAAUUUGGAGGGGACACAGGAGCAACUUUCCAGUACCUAUGAGAAGUACAUCAAGAUGACUGUGCCAGGCUCUUCACAGUGGCCAAGUAGCAAAGGGACAAAAGACAAUGGCUUUAAGUUGAAACAAAAGACUCACACUGGAUAUAAAGAACUUUCACACCAUGAGGACAACCAAAAAGGUUUCCCAGAAAGGCUGUGCCAUCUCCACCCCUGGCUUAUUUCAAAUGAAUGAGAUCCUGCACAAUCCUGUGUGACUUCACAGUUGACCUUGCUUGGAGCAAGGAGCUUACAUUAGAUAUUCUUCUCAUAAGCCUAUUCCUCUAUCCAAGAAAUUACCAGGUACACAUUGUUUGAUUUUUCAAGCACUUAAAUCAAAUCUCUAGGUGCCUCAAAUCUAUUCAAGAACUUCUGCACAUCAACUGCAAUCCUGGCUAAAACAAGGUUUAGCUGGCUGUCUUAUAUUUCAUGAAUACUACUCUGAACAAUUUGGCAAUUAGCACCAAGUUUACAACUGAUGUCCCGGAAGGUACUGUGAGGAAAGAUCUGAACAUUCUGAAAAUAAA
Molecule: long non-coding RNA, 940 nt
Organism: Passer domesticus (house sparrow)
Lineage: Eukaryota; Metazoa; Chordata; Aves; Passeriformes; Passeridae
Exons: 3
Source: RefSeq, a predicted model, not a curated record